GUCAGGAUGGCCGAGUGGUCUAAGGCGCUGCGUUCAGGUCGCAGUCUUCUUCUGAAGGCGUGGGUCGAAUCCCACUUCUGACA
Molecule: transfer RNA, 83 nt
Filed under: Tigriopus californicus
Lineage: Eukaryota; Metazoa; Arthropoda; Copepoda; Harpacticoida; Harpacticidae
Description: tRNA-Leu for anticodon CAG
Rfam family: tRNA
About the family: Transfer RNA (tRNA) molecules are approximately 80 nucleotides in length. Their secondary structure includes four short double-helical elements and three loops (D, anti-codon, and T loops). Further hydrogen bonds mediate the characteristic L-shaped molecular structure. tRNAs have two regions of fundamental functional importance: the anti-codon, which is responsible for specific mRNA codon recognition, and the 3' end, to which the tRNAs corresponding amino acid is attached (by aminoacyl-tRNA synthetases). tRNAs cope with the degeneracy of the genetic code in two manners: having more than one tRNA (with a specific anti-codon) for a particular amino acid; and 'wobble' base-pairing, i.e. permitting non-standard base-pairing at the 3rd anti-codon position.
Source: RNAcentral